GAUGGACGCUGGCGGCGUGCCUAAUACAUGCCAGUCGAGCGAACAGACGAGGAGCUUGCUCCUCUGACGUUAGCGGCGGACGGGUGAGUAACACGUGGAUAACCUACCUAUAAGACUGGGAUAACUUCGGGAAACCGGAGCUAAUACCGGAUAAUAUAUUGAACCGCAUGGUUCAAUAGUGAAAGACGGUUUUGCUGUCACUUAUAGAUGGAUCCGCGCCGCAUUAGCUAGUUGGUAAGGUAACGGCUUACCAAGGCAACGAUGCGUAGCCGACCUGAGAGGGUGAUCGGCCACACUGGAACUGAGACACGGCCCAGACGCCUAAGGGAGGCAGCAGUAGGGAAUCUUCCGCAAUGGGCGAAAGCCUGACGGAGCGACGCCGCGUGAGUGAUGAAAGUCUUCGGAUCGUAAAACUCUGUUAUUAGGGAAGAACAAAUGUGUAAGUAACUAUGCACGUCUUGACGGUACCUAAUCAGAAAGCCACGGCUAACUACGUG
This 497-nucleotide ribosomal RNA is filed under the name uncultured bacterium. RNAcentral's name for it is "partial 16S ribosomal RNA". It matches the Rfam family "Bacterial small subunit ribosomal RNA", at positions 28 to 507 of the family's 1533-position model. The record is from RNAcentral.